AUCGAUGGGAGCUUGCUCCCUGAGAUCAGCGGCGGACGGGUGAGUAACACGUGGGUAACCUGCCUGUAAGACUGGGAUAACUCCGGGAAACCGGGGCUAAUACCGGAUAACACCUACCCCCGCAUGGGGGAAGGUUGAAAGGUGGCUUCGGCUAUCACUUACAGAUGGACCCGCGGCGCAUUAGCUAGUUGGUGAGGUAAUGGCUCACCAAGGCGACGAUGCGUAGCCGACCUGAGAGGGUGAUCGGCCACACUGGGACUGAGACACGGCCCAGACUCCUACGGGAGGCAGCAGUAGGGAAUCUUCCGCAAUGGACGAAAGUCUGACGGAGCAACGCCGCGUGAGUGAAGAAGGUUUUCGGAUCGUAAAACUCUGUUGUUAGGGAAGAACAAGUGCCGUUCGAAUAGGGCGGCGCCUUGACGGUACCUAACCAGAAAGCCACGGCUAACUACGUGCCAGCAGCCGCGGUAAUACGUAGGUGGCAAGCGUUGUCCGGAAUUAUUGGGCGUAAAGCGCGCGCAGGUGGUUUCUUAAGUCUGAUGUGAAAGCCCACGGCUCAACCGUGGAGGGUCAUUGGAAACUGGGGAACUUGAGUGCAGAAGAGGAAAGUGGAAUUCCAAGUGUAGCGGUGAAAUGCGUAGAUAUU
Molecule: ribosomal RNA, 646 nt
Filed under: Bacillus sp. 13552
Lineage: Bacteria; Bacillati; Bacillota; Bacilli; Caryophanales; Bacillaceae
Description: bacterial SSU rRNA
Rfam family: Bacterial small subunit ribosomal RNA
Source: RNAcentral